GUAGGCAUAGUUUAAUCAAAACAUUAGAUUGUGAUUCUAAAAACAGAGGUUAAAACCCCCUUGCCCACC
This 69-nucleotide transfer RNA is filed under the name Tetraodon lineatus. Its description in RNAcentral is "tRNA-His". It matches the Rfam family "tRNA". Rfam says of the family: Transfer RNA (tRNA) molecules are approximately 80 nucleotides in length. Their secondary structure includes four short double-helical elements and three loops (D, anti-codon, and T loops). Further hydrogen bonds mediate the characteristic L-shaped molecular structure. tRNAs have two regions of fundamental functional importance: the anti-codon, which is responsible for specific mRNA codon recognition, and the 3' end, to which the tRNAs corresponding amino acid is attached (by aminoacyl-tRNA synthetases). tRNAs cope with the degeneracy of the genetic code in two manners: having more than one tRNA (with a specific anti-codon) for a particular amino acid; and 'wobble' base-pairing, i.e. permitting non-standard base-pairing at the 3rd anti-codon position. Lineage: Eukaryota; Metazoa; Chordata; Actinopteri; Tetraodontiformes; Tetraodontidae. The record is from RNAcentral.